CAGCAGCCACGGUAAUACGUAGGUCCCGAGCGUUGUCCGGAUUUAUUGGGCGUAAAGCGAGCGCAGGCGGCUAGAUAAGUCUGAAGUUAAAGGCUGUGGCUUAACCAUAGUACGCUUUGGAAACUGUUUAACUUGAGUGCAAGAGGGGAGAGUGGAAUUCCAUGUGUAGCGGUGAAAUGCGUAGAUAUAUGGAGGAACACCGGUGGCGAAAGCGGCUCUCUGGCUUGUAACUGACGCUGAGGCUCGAAAGCGUGGGGAGCAAACAGGAUUAGAUACCCCCGUAGUCCCUGUCUCUUAUACA
RNAcentral lists this ribosomal RNA (301 nucleotides) under uncultured bacterium. Its description in RNAcentral is "partial 16S ribosomal RNA". It matches the Rfam family "Bacterial small subunit ribosomal RNA", at positions 509 to 808 of the family's 1533-position model. The record is from RNAcentral.